GCAGGGCGUGGUGGCGUGCACCUGUAGUCCCAGCUACUUAGGAGGCUGAGGCAGGAGAAUUGCUUGAACCCAGGAAGUGGAGGUUGCAGUGAGCUGAGAUCAUGCCACUGCACUCCAGCCUGGGCAACAGAGCGAGACUCUGUCUCUU
Unclassified non-coding RNA from Macaca fascicularis (crab-eating macaque), 148 nucleotides. It matches the Rfam family "Metazoan signal recognition particle RNA". Rfam says of the family: The signal recognition particle (SRP) is a universally conserved ribonucleoprotein. It is involved in the co-translational targeting of proteins to membranes. The eukaryotic SRP consists of a 300-nucleotide 7S RNA and six proteins: SRPs 72, 68, 54, 19, 14, and 9. Lineage: Eukaryota; Metazoa; Chordata; Mammalia; Primates; Cercopithecidae. The record is from Ensembl.